UAGGGUUUUCCAGUGUGGGAAAGUCAGCUGUACUAUCAACUAGGAAUAAACUAACAGGCAUUUUCCUAGUCCUCAACCUAGAAGAGAUGAGAUCAAAUGGCUCCUCCCUCUACAGGAUCACAUUCUUCCUGGUGUUGUCUACUUUGGCGCACACUGCUUUUUCAGCAAUUGUCAGAGAACGUAAUGGUUCCAGAUGGCCCAAGCACACUGGAACUGGGAUCCAAGGAUAAAUGAAAACUUCAUCCUUGGGGUUUAGCAAGGAUUUUAUUUUGGUUAUCAACUCAAGUGAUUAUGGGAUGAGCAAUGACACUACGUUGAAAGGAAAAAAGUAC
Nannospalax galili (Upper Galilee mountains blind mole rat) is the source of this 332-nucleotide long non-coding RNA. RefSeq lists it as uncharacterized. NCBI's taxonomy places the organism in Eukaryota, Metazoa, Chordata, Mammalia, Rodentia, Spalacidae. The record is from RefSeq and is a predicted model, not a curated record. The transcript has 3 exons.